RNAcentral lists this ribosomal RNA (250 nucleotides) under uncultured bacterium. RNAcentral's name for it is "partial 16S ribosomal RNA". It matches the Rfam family "Bacterial small subunit ribosomal RNA", at positions 524 to 773 of the family's 1533-position model. The record is from RNAcentral.
UACGGAGGAUGCGAGCGUUAUCCGGAUUUAUUGGGUUUAAAGGGUGCGCAGGCGGUCUAUUAAGUCAGUGGUGAAAUCUCCGGGCUCAACCCGGAAACUGCCAUUGAAACUGGUCGACUUGAGUAUGGAUGAAGUAGGCGGAAUUCGUUGUGUAGCGGUGAAAUGCAUAGAUAUAACGAGGAACCCCGAUUGCGUAGGCAGCUUACUAAACCAUAACUGACGCUCAAGCACGAAAGCGUGGGUAUCAAAC